RNAcentral lists this ribosomal RNA (253 nucleotides) under uncultured bacterium. Its description in RNAcentral is "partial 16S ribosomal RNA". It matches the Rfam family "Bacterial small subunit ribosomal RNA", at positions 524 to 776 of the family's 1533-position model. The record is from RNAcentral.
UACGUAGGGCGCGAGCGUUGUCCGGAAUUAUUGGGCGUAAAGAGCUCGUAGGCGGCUUGUCACGUCGGGUGUGAAAUCCCUCGGCUUAACCGGGGAACUGCGUCUGAUACUGGAUGGCUUGAGUUUGGGAGAGGGACGCGGAAUUCCAGGUGUAGCGGUGAAAUGCGUAGAUAUCUGGAGGAACACCGGUGGCGAAGGCGGCGUCCUGGACCAACACUGACACUGAGGAGCGAAAGCCAGGGGAGCAAACGGG